This 74-nucleotide transfer RNA is filed under the name Probosciger aterrimus (palm cockatoo). RNAcentral describes it as "tRNA-Asn". It matches the Rfam family "tRNA". Rfam says of the family: Transfer RNA (tRNA) molecules are approximately 80 nucleotides in length. Their secondary structure includes four short double-helical elements and three loops (D, anti-codon, and T loops). RNAcentral also lists the same sequence under 1 other name. The record is from RNAcentral. Lineage: Eukaryota; Metazoa; Chordata; Aves; Psittaciformes; Cacatuidae.
UAGACAGAGGCCUGUUGUUUUGGGCGCCUAACUGUUAAUUAGGAGUGUUGUGGGAUCAAAGCCCGCCUGUCUAG